GAUCUCCGCAACAAUGCUCGAGCAAGACUUAACAGUUGUCUCUGUCCAACGCUGAAAUUCUCCCCAGAUUCCGAAACCUCAGCAUCCAAACCUAAAGAAUUCCUUCGGAUUACAUCCUUCAAGUGUGCUCUCUCCAAAGCCUCCCAAAGAUCAGCAUCAUUGUGUUCAUUGAAAGGAUCAAGAUUAAACCUCACAGUUCCUGAAAAAAGAACUGGCGAUUGUGGUAUAAUUCCAAGUACUUUGCGAAGAUCCAUCAAUCCAAACUUUGCAGUAUCACAACCAUCAAUCAAGAUUCUUCCUCUUUCCAGUUCCACAAUUCGAAAUAAAGCAUUGAGCAUGCUAGAUUUGCCUGCUCCAGU
RNAcentral lists this unclassified non-coding RNA (359 nucleotides) under Hevea brasiliensis (rubber tree). The record is from RNAcentral. Lineage: Eukaryota; Viridiplantae; Streptophyta; Magnoliopsida; Malpighiales; Euphorbiaceae.